AACGCACGAGACCUGCGGACCUGCGGAGGGAUCAUUAGUGAACGCCCUCACGGGCUUAUAACUAUUCCAAACCUCUGUGAACCGUGCCCUCCGGGGCUAUUUUACAAACAUGGUGUAAUGAACGUCAUAUAUCAUAACAAAACAAAACUUUCAACAAUGGAUCUCU
RNAcentral lists this unclassified non-coding RNA (166 nucleotides) under soil metagenome. RNAcentral describes it as "partial contains 5.8S ribosomal RNA, internal transcribed spacer 2, and large subunit ribosomal RNA". The record is from RNAcentral.